GGAAAAUGCUCGUAAGAGAACCGGAACACAGGUGCUGCAUGGCUGUCGUCAGCUCGUGUCGUGAGAUGUUGGGUUAAGUCCCGCAACGAGCGCAACCCUUGUCAUUAGUUGCUACGAAAGGGCACUCUAAUGAGACUGCCGGUGACAAACCGGAGGAAGGUGGGGAUGACGUCAAGUCCUCAUGGCCCUUAUGGGUAGGGCUUCACACGUCAUACAAUGGUCGGGACAGAGGGUCGCCAACCCGCGAGGGGGAGCCAAUCCCAGAAACCCGAUCGUAGUCCGGAUUGCAAGCUGCAACUCGCCUGCAUGAAGUCGGGAUCGCUAGUAAUCGCGGAUCAGAAUGUCGCGGUGAAUACGUUCCCGGGUCUUGUACACACCGCCCGUCACACAAUGGAAG
RNAcentral lists this ribosomal RNA (397 nucleotides) under uncultured Alcaligenes sp. RNAcentral's name for it is "bacterial SSU rRNA". It matches the Rfam family "Bacterial small subunit ribosomal RNA", at positions 1008 to 1410 of the family's 1533-position model. The record is from RNAcentral. Lineage: Bacteria; Pseudomonadati; Pseudomonadota; Betaproteobacteria; Burkholderiales; Alcaligenaceae.